GGAUGCGAUCAUACCAGCACUAAUGCACCGGAUCCCAUCAGAACUCCGAAGUUAAGCGUGCUUGGGCGAGAGUAGUACUAGGAUGGGUGCUGGAAGCCCCCACCCACUUUUU
This 112-nucleotide ribosomal RNA is filed under the name Ipomoea nil (Japanese morning glory). Lineage: Eukaryota; Viridiplantae; Streptophyta; Magnoliopsida; Solanales; Convolvulaceae. The record is from RNAcentral.